RNAcentral lists this ribosomal RNA (275 nucleotides) under Clostridioides difficile. RNAcentral describes it as "partial 23S ribosomal RNA". It matches the Rfam family "Bacterial large subunit ribosomal RNA", at positions 2415 to 2689 of the family's 2925-position model. The record is from RNAcentral. Lineage: Bacteria; Bacillati; Bacillota; Clostridia; Peptostreptococcales; Peptostreptococcaceae.
GUGAUCCGGUGGUUAUGCGUGGAAGGGCCAGCGCUCAACGGAUAAAAGCUACCCUGGGGAUAACCGGCUUAUCUCCCCCAAGAGGCCCCAUCGACGGGGAGGUUUGGCACCUCGAUGUCGGCUCAUCACAUCCUGGUGCUGUAGUAGGUCCCAAGGGUUGGGCUGUUCGCCCAUUAAAGUGGUACGCGAGCUGGGUUCAGAACGUCGGGAGACAGUUCGGUCCCUAUCCGUCGCAGGCGGAGGAAAUUUGAGAAGACCUGUCCUUAGUACGAGAG